GAUGAAGAACGUAGCGAAAUGCGAUAAGUAGUGUGAAUUGCAGAAUUCAGUGAAUCAUCGAAUCUUUGAACGCACAUUGCGCCCUUUGGUAUUCCAAAGGGCAUGCCUGUUCGAGUGUCAUUUGUACCCUCAAGCUUUGCUUGGUGUUGGGCGUCUUGUCUCUAGCUUUGCUGGAGACUCGCCUUAAAGUAAUUGGCAGCCGGCCUACUGGUUUCGGAGCGCAGCACAAGUCGCACUCUCUAUCAGCAAAGGUCUAGCAUCCAUUAAGCCUUUUUUUCAACUUUUGACCUCGGAUCAGGUAGGGAUACCCGCUGAACUUAAGCAUAUCAAUAAGCGGAGGA
RNAcentral lists this unclassified non-coding RNA (341 nucleotides) under soil metagenome. RNAcentral describes it as "partial contains 5.8S ribosomal RNA, internal transcribed spacer 2, and large subunit ribosomal RNA". The stretch from base 1 to 120 matches the Rfam family "5.8S ribosomal RNA", at positions 35 to 154 of the family's 154-position model. The record is from RNAcentral.